Molecule: long non-coding RNA, 1909 nt
Filed under: Sus scrofa (pig)
Lineage: Eukaryota; Metazoa; Chordata; Mammalia; Artiodactyla; Suidae
Description: lncRNA (ENSSSCG00040015367.1)
Source: RNAcentral
UCCCCUUUGAUCCCUCGCCUGGGAACCUCCCUCCAUAUCCCGCGGAUGCAGCUACAAAAAGCAAAUAAAUAAAUAAAUAAAUAAUAAAUGCUUACUUAUUAUCUUUGUAAAUUAGUGGGGAGAAAAAGCCAUUUCCAUAUGGGAACCCCAAGGACCCAGGCCUGGGGACCCUGAGCAAAUCAAUGGGGCACAGCACGUGGCUCACUGCCCUGCGCGUCCCCAGAGAGGAAGGACCAUUCUGGACGGUUUCUUGGUCCCCGGUCCCCGGACAGUACUCGCACCAGGACCGCUGCCAGGGCCUGGAGAGAGCGGAUCCAGCGUUCCAGCUCCGGAUCCAGCAUCCCAGCUCCGAGGCUCCUCAGACAGAAGAGGGCGGGGCCUCGUUCUUCCCUCCUGCCCCCAGGCUGCCAGGCUGCGUUUCAUAGUUUGAUUGAAAGUGUGCCAUCCCGUCUGUCUCUCCGCAAACAAAUGGAAUAUUCUGAGCUUCCAGCAUUUGGAGGCACACAGCUUGCAUCUUUUCCUGAAGAAAAAUAAAUAGCAUGUGUGGUUAACAACCGAGUCCUGAUGGAGAAAACAAUGCUGCCGACCAGAAGCCCUUGCGCAACCGGGGCCGCAGACGCCAGGCAGGUAGCUGAGCUUCGGCUCCUCUGCAAUGCCAAGUCCAUCCACUGUCAGAAGACCCCUCCUCCUCUGCCACCAGCUCACCCACACCCAUCCAGGACCCUGGCUUGCAGGGCUGUCCAUGUCUGUUUACAAACCGCAGGAGAGAAAGCAGCUCAAGGCAUAGGUCAAGCUGCAGAGCUUUUUGGAACAAGGGGUUUAAAACCUACCUUUUUUUGGAAUAAUCCCAGCUCCCAACUCUGGGAGAAACAAAUACAAACCAGAAUUCUCUGGCUGCGGUCUGUCUGAAUAUCUGGACACUCUUCCCAGCAUGUGACAUCCUCUUCCGUCCAGACUUCAAGGUUAAAAAUAGCCUGGCAAACCCUUUGAACUAUUGUCUCUUUCAAACACAAUAUGGAUUGUAUGUGUGUUUACCACUUGGAAGAAACGCUUUGUGACACAAGACAUGCUGACAGGGUGUUUCAGGCUAAGGGUGGAGGAGGGUGUCCACGGACUUGUUGAAUUUACACUAAAUACAUACACACACCUGUUCCCACGCACCCAGGCUGCUCCUGCCUGGUACAACCAUUCCCAAGCGGCUGCUAAGACUGUAACAACCCUGUGGGGUGAUCCAAUUGACCAAAACUCAGCAGGAAGCCCCAUUGUCUUCCUCCCUCCAAUAGAUCAGCAAAACACAUGAUCAGGAAGAUUUUCUCUCUCUCUCUCUCUCUCUCUUUUUUUUUUUUUUUUUUUUUUUUUUUUUGGCCACCCUGCGGCAUAUCAAGUUCCCAGACCAGGGAUAAGAUCCGAGCUGCAGUUGCAACCUAAGCCACAGCUUCAGCAAUGUCAGAUCCUUAACCCACUGUGCUGGACCGGGGAUCGAACUCUCACCCCAGCACUCCCAAGACACUGCCCAUCCCAUUGCGCCACAGCAGGAAAUCUGGGAAGAAUUUUAAGAAGUGGCCAUCUUAAAAUUUCUAACUGCCUUUCUGGUCCCAGCAGAUUUUUGUUCAAGAAAGAAUCACUAGGUAACCUUCUCUCUUUAAAGGCCCUGGGCCUUAAGAAAGGCCUCUCCUUCUAGAACCACUCUCCAUGCAGAGGUGGCUGCUGGCAGGACCUGAGAACCUUUGCUGUGGAGCCAGAACGCCUCCCUGGGAGCACAGGGGUGGGGAACUGGCCUGAGUUUUUGAGGUUCACAAUCCUAGAGCCUCUUGGUUGGACUGGAACAUUCUGGCCAUGGUCAGCUGGCAGGACAGGAGCAAGAGCUUCUCAGAAAAUGGGCAUUUGACUGGCAAAGCCAGCCCCACAC